Molecule: ribosomal RNA, 253 nt
Filed under: uncultured bacterium
Lineage: Bacteria
Description: partial 16S ribosomal RNA
Rfam family: Bacterial small subunit ribosomal RNA
Source: RNAcentral
UACGGAGGGUGCAAGCGUUAUCCGGAUUUACUGGGUUUAAAGGGUGUGUAGGCGGGCUAUUAAGUCAGUGGUGAAAUCUCCGGGCUCAACCCGGAAACUGCCAUUGAUACUAUUAGUCUUGAAUUCUGUUGAGGUAGGCGGAAUAAGUCAUGUAGCGGUGAAAUGCAUAGAUAUGACUUAGAACACCGAUUGCGAAGGCAGCUUGCUAAACAGAUAUUGACGCUGAGGCACGAAAGCGUGGGGAUCAAACAGG